AUUAAUAUGUGAAAUAAUUUUAGAGACUUUAUUAAAUACACACAGUCCUCUUUAUGGUAGAGGAACAGUUCAGCUUGAGCUGGUGACCGGCUGAACUAGAGGGGUUACUCUGGGAAAGUGGCGAGUCGGCAGGGCAUGUCUGCACAGAUUUUGUGCCAGGUUUCCUGCCUGCACAGCGCUUUCUUCUCUGUCCAAGUUCUGUGCUGACCACAGCUGUCCACAGGCAUGUUUACACUCCCUGUUCUUGCAGGUUGACUUGAGAGAACCACGUAGCUAAAUUGGUGAGAGACUCAGCCUGACCGCUUGUCUUUAGAAGGCCUGAUUGGAAGAGUGCACUCUAUUGACUUUCCUCUAACAAUGAAAUUGUGAAAGAGGUCCUGUAAUAAAGAGGGAUCCGAACAAGCUCAGAAAGAAAAUGAAUUUCAAGGGGCCGAGGCCAUGGUUCUGGAGAGCGUUAUGUUUGCCAUUCUCGCAGAGAGGUCACUUGGGCCAAAACUCUAUGGCAUCUUUCCCCAAGGCCGACUGGAGCAGUUCAUCCCGAGCCGGCGAUUAGAUACUGAAGAAUUAAGUUUGCCAGAUAUU
Molecule: small RNA, 582 nt
Filed under: Pan troglodytes (chimpanzee)
Lineage: Eukaryota; Metazoa; Chordata; Mammalia; Primates; Hominidae
Description: processed transcript
Source: RNAcentral